GCACCGGCUAAUUCCGUGCCAGCAGCCGCGGUAAUACGGAAGGUGCAAGCGUUAAUCGGAAUUACUGGGCGUAAAGCGCGCGUAGGUGGUUUGUUAAGUUGGAUGUGAAAGCCCUGGGCUCAACCUAGGAACUGCAUCCAAAACUAACUCACUAGAGUACGAUAGAGGGAGGUAGAAUUCAUAGUGUAGCGGUGGAAUGCGUAGAUAUUAUGAAGAAUACCAGUGGCGAAGGCGGCCUCCUGGAUCUGUACUGACACUGAGGUGCGAAAGCGUGGGUAGCGAACAGGAUUAGAUACCCUGGUAGUCCACGCCGUAAACGAUGACAACUAGCUGUUAGGAGACUAUGUCUUUUAGUGGCGCAGCUAACGUUUUAAGUUGUCCGCCUGGGGAGUACGGCCGCAAGGCUAAAACUCAAAUGAAUUGACGGGGACCCGCACAAGCAGUGGAUCAUGUGGUUUAAUUCGAUGCAACGCGAAAAACCUUACCUACUCUUGACAUACUUGGAAGCUCUUGUAAUGAGAGUGUGCUUUUAAGAACCAAGAUACAGGUGCUGCAUGGCUGUCGUCAGCUCGUGUCGUGAGAUGUUCCGUUAAGUCGGAUAACGAGCGCAACCCUUACCCUUAUUUGCCAGCGAUUCGGUCGGGAACUAUAAGGGGACUGCCGGUGAUAAACCGGAGGAAGGUGAGGACGACGUCAAGUCAUCAUGGCCCUUACGAGUAGGGCUACACACGUGAUACAAUGGGAGAGACAGACGGACGCUAAGCCGCGAGGUGGUGCUAAUCCUAGAAACUCUCUCGUAGUCCGGAUUGGAGUCUGCAACUCGACUCCAUGAAGUUGGAAUUGCUAGUAAUCGCGGAUCAGCAUGCCGCGGUGAAUACGUUCUCGGGUCUUGUACACACCGCCCGUCACACCAUGGAAGUGGAUUGCACCAGAAGUAGAUAGUCUAACCUUAGGAGGGCGUUUACCACGGUG
This 972-nucleotide ribosomal RNA is filed under the name marine metagenome. Its description in RNAcentral is "bacterial SSU rRNA". It matches the Rfam family "Bacterial small subunit ribosomal RNA", at positions 490 to 1464 of the family's 1533-position model. The record is from RNAcentral.